Molecule: ribosomal RNA, 154 nt
Filed under: uncultured fungus
Lineage: Eukaryota; Fungi
Description: 5.8S ribosomal RNA
Rfam family: 5.8S ribosomal RNA
About the family: 5.8S ribosomal RNA (5.8S rRNA) is a component of the large subunit of the eukaryotic ribosome.
Source: RNAcentral
AACUUUCAACAACGGAUCUCUAGGCUCUGGCAUCGAUGAAGAACGCAGUGAAAUGUGAUCAGUAAUGUGAAUUGCAGAAUCUCGUGAAUCAUCGAAUCUUUGCACGCACAUUGCGCUCUAUGCUAUUCCGUAGGGCAUGCCUGUCUGAGCGUCA